CAAAUUAGAGCUUGAUUUUAAGUAUUUCAUUUACAUUGAAAAGAUAUUAUAUUUAAUUAAUUUGA
This 65-nucleotide transfer RNA is filed under the name Archon apollinus (false apollo). RNAcentral's name for it is "trnA-Val". Lineage: Eukaryota; Metazoa; Arthropoda; Insecta; Lepidoptera; Papilionidae. The record is from RNAcentral.